UCUUUCUUUCUUUCUUUCUUUCUUUCUUUCUUUCUUUCUUUCUUUCUUUCUCAGGAUGUACCAAACUGUAGAUAUUAUCAUUUCAAACAUUGAAGCAAUUUCUCAGAUGGGUUUUUCUGUUUUCUCAGCUUAAGGAUGGCUUUUUUCACCUGCAUGGAGAACUCCUUUGGAUGCAUGUUGUUUGUUCACAGCAAAAUAUUCCAAAUGCAAGCAUGACACAUCAAAUCAACUCCAGGCCCUUUAUCUGCUUAAUUAAUAAUGACAUAAUACAGGAAGUGCCCACACGUGCCCAUGAAACAGCCUUUGAGUUGUCCAGUUACUUCUGGUCCCUUUAUAAAGCGGUUGGCACAUGUUAAGAAGCUGAAACUCCAAAACUCUUUAUUCAAUUUGACUGUGGAUACCCUCAAAUGAAAGCUGGGAGUCUACGCAUUAUGUCCAUGUCCACUGUAUAACUAUAAUUAGAAUAUGUUCUGGCAAAGAGGUAUAAAAACAAUUAUAAAUGGACCUAACUGGAAGUAGCACUUGCAUCUGUAGUUACUAGCUUUGAUUUUAAUUGCUUAGUGUUCAUAAAAAUAUCUGCUGUUUUUUUAAUGUGAAAAUCUAAUAAUGCAAAAUUUCACAUGAUUUUUAAGUGAACAAAUACAAAAGUGGAACACAAUCAAAUGUGUUUACAUACAGUAAUAAAACAUUACAUUUAUUCAAUUUUAUAUAUUCGUUUUUGUUUGGUUUAUUGUUUUGAACUAUUUAAAGAAGUCCCCACUUUGCUGAAAAUGUCAGUUUUAGACAUUUGGAGUCAAAAAUACAGCAGUGAAAGGUAAAAUGUUCAUGAUACACAGAAACAUCUACAAAACUUUCAACUUGAACAUUUGACAAAACUUUCAUAUUGUAUAAAUUAUCUUCCUUUACGUGCAAUAUUACUGGUUAGUGUUUCACAGUGAGCCCACUGCUGGUGAUGUAUUUGUUUAACACUGAUUAUUAGAGUAGGAAUAGAAGAUUACCUACGAUAUGCAUAUAUCCUAAUGACCUGUUAGUCACAGGUUGUUAACAAAUGAGUGCUUGUUUGCAUAACUAGUCCCUUUGUCUAUCUGCUUUCUAAACACCAAGAUGGCAAAAAAAACUCCGUGUUAUUGGGCUGUUUACUAAUUUGUACCACUGUGUCUUUUUCAUGUUAACAUCAGUCCUACAUAAGAAAAUCCUGGUAAUGACACAAUGCACCUGUUCUGUUUGAGCAAUGAUGCUGAACUGUUUAUUAAUUAAUAUAAAGCUCUCCAGGCUUUUGGCUGUCUUAUUUUGUUGUUCUGUAAAAUAAGCUUCUCUGUGUAAGCUUAUUGGCUCAAUUAGCUCUUUCAAAACUUUUUGAUAUACCACAUUUUUCAAAUCUACUAAAUGCAUUUUAUUUGCAAGAAGCUUAGUGUAUGUUUAAUAAAAAUUGCAGUAUAUUAUAUAAAAUUGCCUCAUGAUUUCUCAGGAUAAGAGUCUGAGAAAAUGUAUUAUCUGUGUUUGUUAUUAAUUAAAAAUGUACAAAAACAA
Molecule: non-coding RNA, 1530 nt
Organism: Maylandia zebra (zebra mbuna)
Lineage: Eukaryota; Metazoa; Chordata; Actinopteri; Cichliformes; Cichlidae
Source: RefSeq, a predicted model, not a curated record